UACGUAGGGUGCAAGCGUUAAUCGGAAUUACUGGGCGUAAAGCGUGCGCAGGCGGUUCGUUAAGACAGAUGUGAAAUCCCCGGGCUUAACCUGGGAACUGCAUUUGUGACUGGCGAGCUAGAGUAUGGCAGAGGGGGGUAGAAUUCCACGUGUAGCAGUGAAAUGCGUAGAGAUGUGGAGGAAUACCGAUGGCGAAGGCAGCCCCCUGGGCCAAUACUGACGCUCAUGCACGAAAGCGUGGGUAGCAAACAGG
Molecule: ribosomal RNA, 253 nt
Filed under: uncultured bacterium
Lineage: Bacteria
Description: partial 16S ribosomal RNA
Rfam family: Bacterial small subunit ribosomal RNA
Source: RNAcentral